Molecule: ribosomal RNA, 253 nt
Filed under: uncultured bacterium
Lineage: Bacteria
Description: partial 16S ribosomal RNA
Rfam family: Bacterial small subunit ribosomal RNA
Source: RNAcentral
UACGAGUGCCCCAAGCGUUAUUCGGAAUUAUUGGGCGUAAAGGGCGCGUAGGCGGCUUCGCAAGUGGAAGGUGAAAUCCCUCGGCUUAACCGAGGAACUGCCCUCCAAACUGCGUUGCUUGAGGCCGGGAGAGGUGAGUGGAAUUCCCAGUGUAGCGGUGAAAUGCGUAGAUAUUGGGAGGAACACCAGUGGCGAAGGCGGCUCACUGGACCGGUUCUGACGCUGAGGCACGAAAGCGUGGGGAGCAAACAGG